This 624-nucleotide ribosomal RNA is filed under the name Triticum aestivum (bread wheat). RNAcentral's name for it is "partial small subunit ribosomal RNA". The record is from RNAcentral. Lineage: Eukaryota; Viridiplantae; Streptophyta; Magnoliopsida; Poales; Poaceae.
AUGAUGAAGAUGCAAAGACUAGGACUCGCUGCACUAGAGAGAACCAUUUCGAGACAGAGAUCGAGAAUACUUUGGCUAAAAGAAGGAGAUGCUAGCAACCGUUUCUUCCAGUCCAAAGCUUCUGCUAGAAGGAGGAGGAAGCACAUCCACCGUGUGGUUCACGAAGGGGUCCCGCACACUGACCAAGCCGGCAAAGUGCAAGCUAUGCAUGAUUUCUUCGAUGGGUUGAUGGGGCAAAAAGUUCAGAGAGGGCAUGGCAUUAAUUUCCAUGAGAUCGGAAUCCAGGAGGUGGACCUGGCAGAUUUGAAUUGUCCAAUAUCAGUUGAGGAGGUGAAGGCGGCCAUUACGGAGAUCGAUGGGAAUAAGGCGCCGGGGCCAGAUGGGUACACGGGCAUGUUCUAUAAGUGCUGCUGGGAAAUCAUCAAAACUGAUUUGAUGGAUGCACUGUCCGCUGUGCAAUGUUUGAACGCCAGAAAUCUGCAUCUCCUAAAUGAAAGUACGACGGUGUUGCUACCCAAGAAGGAGGACGCGGAAUCGCCAAGGGACUACCGACCUAUCUGCUUAAUCUCAAGUUUUGCCAAGCUGAUCGCCAAGAUCUUCGCUAUCCGUAUCAGAGGGACAUGA